This 217-nucleotide unclassified non-coding RNA is filed under the name uncultured fungus. Its description in RNAcentral is "sequence contains ITS1". The record is from RNAcentral. Lineage: Eukaryota; Fungi.
AAGGCAAUGGACAUUCUUUAAUUCUGAAAAAUGCCACGGGGAACAACUUAAAAAAUGUUACUGCAGAAUUUCCUCUCGGAAAGUUUAUCUGUGUCACGGGCGUUUCAGGCAGUGGUAAGUCCAGCUUAAUUGCUGAAACGCUUUAUCCCAUAUUAAAUCAUCAUUUCUUCAGGGCAAAGAAAGUUCCGAUGCCAUAUAAGAAAAUUGAGGGCUUGGA